RNAcentral lists this ribosomal RNA (620 nucleotides) under uncultured Marmoricola sp. RNAcentral describes it as "bacterial SSU rRNA". It matches the Rfam family "Bacterial small subunit ribosomal RNA", at positions 427 to 1058 of the family's 1533-position model. Lineage: Bacteria; Bacillati; Actinomycetota; Actinomycetes; Propionibacteriales; Nocardioidaceae. The record is from RNAcentral.
UAACCUCUUUCAGCAGGGACGAAGCGCAAGUGACGGUACCUGCAGAAGAAGCACCGGCCAACUACGUGCCAGCAGCCGCGGUAAUACGUAGGGUGCAAGCGUUGUCCGGAAUUAUUGGGCGUAAAGGGCUCGUAGGCGGUCUGUCGCGUCGGGAGUGAAAACUCAGGGCUUAACCCUGAGCCUGCUUCCGAUACGGGCAGACUAGAGGUAUGCAGGGGAGAAUGGAAUUCCUGGUGUAGCGGUGAAAUGCGCAGAUAUCAGGAGGAACACCGGUGGCGAAGGCGGUUCUCUGGGCAUUACCUGACGCUGAGGAGCGAAAGUGUGGGGAGCGAACAGGAUUAGAUACCCUGGUAGUCCACACCGUAAACGUUGGGCGCUAGGUGUGGGACUCAUUCCACGAGUUCCGUGCCGCAGCUAACGCAUUAAGCGCCCCGCCUGGGGAGUACGGCCGCAAGGCUAAAACUCAAAGGAAUUGACGGGGGCCCGCACAAGCGGCGGAGCAUGCGGAUUAAUUCGAUGCAACGCGAAGAACCUUACCUGGGUUUGACAUAUACGAGAAGCCUCUAGAGAUAGAGGUCUCUUUGGACACUCGUAUACAGGUGGUGCAUGGCUGUCGUCAG